UUAUUACUAACCAUUGAUAAUAUGCUGUUAGUCCUAAAUAUAAAGCUUUACUAAACCAAAUGAGAAAUACAUGUACACCCUACAGUUAUUCUUUACAUCAUUAAUACAGUUGACCUAUCGCUUAGUUUCCAAGAAACAAAGAAAACUAAAAUAUUGACCAAUGAACCAUGAAAAUGAGGUCAAGGUCAGAUGAACCAUGCCAGACAGAAGAUAACAUGUGCACCUUACAAUCUUUCCAUACAACAAAUAUACAUGACAUAUUGCUUGUAGUUUAAAAAGAAAAACACAAUGUUUAAAAGUGCACACCUUGAAAUGUCUAUCCUUCUUUACUAACCAGUGAUUUUAUGAUGAUUGUCCUAAAUAUACAGCUUUACUACAAGUAUCCCAUAAACUCAACUUGAACUAAGAAAAUGAGGUCUAGGUCAGAUGAACCAAAUGAGAAAUACAUGUACACCUUACACACCAAAAACAGUUGACCUAUUGCUUAUCGUCAUUUAAUAGUGUCUAAGAAACUGACUUAACCAAGUAAACUAAACAUUGGCCAAUGAAACAUCCCAC
RNAcentral lists this long non-coding RNA (558 nucleotides) under Mytilus galloprovincialis (Mediterranean mussel). Lineage: Eukaryota; Metazoa; Mollusca; Bivalvia; Mytilida; Mytilidae. The record is from RNAcentral.